RNAcentral lists this ribosomal RNA (518 nucleotides) under uncultured bacterium. Its description in RNAcentral is "bacterial SSU rRNA". It matches the Rfam family "Bacterial small subunit ribosomal RNA", at positions 59 to 564 of the family's 1533-position model. The record is from RNAcentral.
CAGUCGAGGGGCAGCAUGGUCUUAGCUUGCUAAGGCUGAUGGCGACCGGCGCACGGGUGAGUAACACGUAUCCAACCUGCCGUCUACUCUUGGCCAGCCUUCUGAAAGGAAGAUUAAUCCAGGAUGGGAUCAUGAGUUCACAUGUCCGCAUGAUUAAAGGUAUUUUCCGGUAGACGAUGGGGAUGCGUUCCAUUAGAUAGUAGGCGGGGUAACGGCCCACCUAGUCAACGAUGGAUAGGGGUUCUGAGAGGAAGGUCCCCCACAUUGGAACUGAGACACGGUCCAAACUCCUACGGGAGGCAGCAGUGAGGAAUAUUUGUCAAUGGGCGAUGGCCUGAACCAGCCAAGUAGCGUGAAGGAUGACUGCCCUAUGGGUUGUAAACUUCUUUUAUAAAGGAAUAAAGUCGGGUAUGCAUACCCGUUUGCAUGUACUUUAUGAAUAAGGAUCGGCUAACUCCGUGCCAGCAGCCGCGGUAAUACGGAGGAUCCGAGCGUUAUCCGGAUUUAUUGGGUUUAAA